RNAcentral lists this long non-coding RNA (1160 nucleotides) under Heterocephalus glaber (naked mole-rat). RNAcentral's name for it is "lncRNA (ENSHGLG00000035689.1)". Lineage: Eukaryota; Metazoa; Chordata; Mammalia; Rodentia; Bathyergidae. The record is from RNAcentral.
GGAGCGGGUUGAGCCGCGUCGCAGCUCUGCUGCCCCCACUGUGCCACCACCAGCACCGCUGUGGCUGUCGCUGUUAGCCAGACCCUAAGAGGCCUUGACCCAGGGAGUUUCGGGACUAGGGACCCAGAAUGGAGGAGAAAACCAAGAAGGCUUUCGGAAAUUCAUGAGCUAAAAAUGUCAGGAAUUUCCUGGGAAACGCACUUCCUUACGGGAUUCAUUAAAGCAGGUUCGCUUGCUUGCCCCUUUUACUCUUUCUCCCAGAAACGUGUUGAGGAGAGACCCCUCACCCAAUAAAACAUUAAAUGGUCGCUGGUUUUUACACAGACAGCUAGGCUACCAACCAUUAAUUAGCCAAUGAAUGUUUGGAGGGUGACAGCUAAACAGGAUCCUCUCGUAAUGGAAAGGAGUUGGGGGGGGGACUCAGAAAUCAUUGGUUUCUUUCUUCCUAGACCUCAUGCAUAAUAUAGGGCCUAUUUUACAACUUCCAGGUAGGUAAUAAGUGCUUACACUGCCUCUUGCAGUGUACAGCCCUGGCAGCUGUGGGAAGGCUAAGGCCUAUCUCCAGGGGACCCCUGCCAAUUCCCCUAUAUUCCCCCACCACCUUCGGCUAGGGGCUAAGAGGAUUAUGCAGAUUUACCCCUGGCUUUCUGAUGCAUAGAUUGCUGACUUCAUCCUGAAAGUGUACCUAUUCUAUCUGUAGGUUCCACUCCCAUUGAACAUCUCUACCUUUUCCCCCAAAGUAAGACUUGCCUCCCCUACUCUUAGCUUCAGAAAAAAUGAUUACAUGGUUACCCCAAAGGAGGGAGAGGGAUGCUGAUCAAGAAACCAAGAACAGUUUAGGGCAUAAACCUUGUUAAUACCUGAGCCCUCAAAGCCCCUAAAAUAUCUGUUCACUUCUUGGGGAAACCUGUUAGGUAUUUGGGGCUUCUUUUUUUUUUUUUUUUCCCUCAUAGCAAGAGCCUCAUUCUACUCAGCAUCAGCUAUUUCAGCUCUAGGCUAAAGCUAUUUCCCACUAAAGAACCUUGACUACCAAAGAGCGAACUGGGUUAGUCCUGUGAACCAGCCUCAGAACCAUCCCCUAUCUCCAGUAGUCUCUGAAAUGGUUCCCCUAAAGGGCAGGCUCAUCCAGAGAAAAACCCAGGGGUUGGGCCUCAAAAAAA